Molecule: ribosomal RNA, 1188 nt
Filed under: Triticum aestivum (bread wheat)
Lineage: Eukaryota; Viridiplantae; Streptophyta; Magnoliopsida; Poales; Poaceae
Description: partial small subunit ribosomal RNA
Source: RNAcentral
AUGGAUCCGGAAAUGAGGGAUCGUGUUAGGAAGAGGGAGGAGGAGGAUGACGAAAUGAUGUUAUUCGUUUUCCCUGCACUACAUUUGAUAGAGACCGAUGGAGUUGCUCUUAGGGAGCGGAGAAUUCCGCGUCAUACAUCAUCGCUAACAGGCGAGAUGUUUGUUAACGAGUUACUCGAAGGGCACGUCAAAAACUGUCGGGUAGCAUUUAGGAUGGAGCCGCGUAUCUUCAAAUCUUUGGCUAAUUAUAUUCGAAGGGAGAAGUUGGUGAAAGAUACCAGAAUUAAAGUCGAAGAGAAACUAGCAUCAUUUCUGUGGAUGUUAUCCCAUAAUUUUUCAUUUGAAGACCUUCAAGUUCGGUUUGGUCACAGUGGGGAUACUUUUCAUUGGCAAAUGAAGAAUUUCUUUGACAUCAUCCCUAUUCUCUCCAAGCAUUUUUUGAAGCCUCCAAAUCCCAGUCAAGUGCAUCCAAAGAUUCAGUCGGACACGAGAUUCUUUCCUUAUUUUCAGAACUGCAUUGGGGCAAUUGAUGGGACACAUGUUCCCAUAACAAUUUCAGGAGAAAAAGCCGCACCAUUCAGAAAUAGGAAAGGGACCCUAAGCCAUAAUGUUAUGGUCGUGUGCGACUUCGACCUGAACUUCACCUUCAUUUCUUGUGGCUGGGAGGGAUCUGCUACUGAUGCUAAAGUUCUCCGGUCAGCACUUAACAGUGGGUUUCAUGUACCUCCGGGCAAGUUUUAUCUGGUUGAUGGUGGUUAUGCCAACACACCUUACUUCUUGGCACCGUAUCGUGGUGUUCGGUACCAUCUGAAGGAGUUUGCACGCGGUCGUCAUCGACCCCAAAAUCACAGGGAGCUAUUUAAUCUCCGGCACGCCGUGUUACGAAAUCACGUCAAACGGGGAUUAGUAAUCUUGAAGAAGCGGUUCCCAAUCCUAAAAGUGGGCACACAUCAUCGAAUAGAGAACCAAGUCAAGCUACCAGCAGCGGCGGCAAUCUUACAUAACAUCAUCCGAUCUGAAAAAGGAGAUGAGCGUUGGUUAGAUAACCAACCAAACAAUAUACCUGUCAUGAAUUUUGUUGAUCUUCCUGACGGUGAUAUUCCUCAAAAUCAUCAAAUCAACCAUGAAGGCGACAACCUUAGAGAUGCCAUUGCUCAUCAAAUGUGGGCUGAUUAUCAACAUGCAUAA